RNAcentral lists this ribosomal RNA (253 nucleotides) under uncultured bacterium. Its description in RNAcentral is "partial 16S ribosomal RNA". It matches the Rfam family "Bacterial small subunit ribosomal RNA", at positions 524 to 776 of the family's 1533-position model. The record is from RNAcentral.
GACGAGGGAUCCUAGCGUUGCUCGGAAUCAUUGGGCGUAAAGCGGGUGUAGGUGGCUUGGUAAGUCAGAUGUGAAAGCCCAGGGCUUAACCCUGGAAGUGCAUUUGAUACUGCUGAGCUUGAGUGCCAGAGAGGUUAAUAGAAUACCUGGUGUAGUGGUGAAAUACGUAGAUAUCAGGUGGAACACCGGUGGCGAAGGCGGCCCACUGGCUCGAUACUGACGCUGAGGAGCGAAAGCGUGGGGAGCGAACAGG